This 1043-nucleotide long non-coding RNA is filed under the name Callithrix jacchus (white-tufted-ear marmoset). Its description in RNAcentral is "lncRNA (ENSCJAG00000082034.1)". The record is from RNAcentral. Lineage: Eukaryota; Metazoa; Chordata; Mammalia; Primates; Cebidae.
AUGGCGACGAUCGCCCAAAGAGAGAGGGUAUUGCCCACCGUCCAGGCGCUGACACACGGGGACCUGUUUACCAAGGUGCUUAGACCGUUCGCAGACAACGGUGGCUUUCAGCGGGAUGUGAGCUCUGGCUCAGCCCCGGCGCUUGCCUCUAGCGACUUGCGCAUGCGCAUUCGCGUACCCGGCAGGGGCGCGGCAACAUCGGCUCUGUCCAGCUGCUGCCGCACAGGUGCACGGUGGAGGCGCUGCCAGAGCUUUACCCUGAAACGACGCUGCAUGCCAAAAGCAGCGCAGGACACUGAGGUUGUCCUCAGUACCUCUUUGAGCCCACCUUCCCGUUCUCCUUGGCUGGAGGAGGAGCGCAGUUCAGACCGUGAGGUGGGCUCUCUUCCCAUUGGAAAAGAGGCUGCUUUUCCCAUUGGAUUCCGGAUCAAAUGACCUGGGCAGGGUUCAGGUCCCAUGGGGCUGGAGAUUCCGUUUGGUUAGUUGUGGCGCGGGCUUGAUAGACCACAGAAACAUACCUGAGAACCUGCAGCAAGCUGUCAGGAGGACCGUCGCCGUCUCCAAUAGCUGACUGCCUCCCUUCGAUCUGGGGCACCCGCCAAGAGGUUUUGUCUUUGCCUCUAAUCCCAGGCACUCCUGCUUCUCAUCACGGUUUUGCAGAAAAGAAGAGAACAAUCAGUCCUGACCUCAGUACCUUUUUGAGCCGACUUUUGUCUUCGGGUCGCUAGGGGUGGCAUGUGCUCUAGACCGUGAAAUAGGCACUCGGCACUGCUCUUCCCAUUUUAUUUUGAAUCGGAUGGGGUAGGCACAAUCGGGUCCCUUUGGGCUCGAGAUUCAGUUUGUUGAGGUGUGGCCGGGGUUACUGGACCAUGGAAACACACCUGAGAUUCUCCGGGAAGAUGUCAGAAGUACAUCCUCCAGUUCCAUAAGCUUACUGCCUUCCUUUGAUCUUGGCCACCCAUCUCCGGGCUCUGCCUUCGUCUUUAUCCUCAGGGACUUCUGCUUCUCAGCACUGCUGUCUUGACAUGGAGGGAACAACCACA